GCCCGGGUGGCGGAAUUUGGUAGACGCGCAUGGUUGAGGGCCAUGUGGGAUACUUUCCUGUGCGGGUUCGAGUCCCGCCCCGGGCA
RNAcentral lists this transfer RNA (86 nucleotides) under bacterium. RNAcentral's name for it is "tRNA-Leu". It matches the Rfam family "tRNA". Rfam says of the family: Transfer RNA (tRNA) molecules are approximately 80 nucleotides in length. Their secondary structure includes four short double-helical elements and three loops (D, anti-codon, and T loops). The record is from RNAcentral. RNAcentral also lists the same sequence under 2 other names.